AAAAUGGACGAAAUUCGGUUAAUUUGAUCAAAAUAUAGGCAAUUUCAUUGAUAUUUAGGCAAAUUUACAUAAAUAAAAGGUAAAACUACUCCUAGUUCAUGCCGAGUAGUUUGUAGAAGACUGUGUAGUCAGCUUCAUCGCUAUCACUCGGCCGCCUGUCCUUCGUGGCGUCCUGGCUGCAGCCAUCCCCUGGAUCACUGUUACGUGCAUGUCGGGCAACGUCGGGUAGUGCGCCUCAUGCAGCAGGCGCACCUUCCACUUGUGCAGCCCAGCGGCGGCCGAAGCCGAUGGCCGCCGCUCUGUCGCCGGGGAACCUGUGAUAGCCUGGCUUAUUAGGGAUGAUAGACUACUCAUAUCAAUAAGGAAUUCCUUCUUUUCCGGAAGUCCAUUCAAAUAGAACUCUCAGGUUAAGCGUGCUCUGAGUGGUGGUGUAUGUGAUAGCCUGGCUUAUUAGGGAUUAUAGACUACUCAUAUCAAUAAGGAAUUCCUUCUUUUCCGGGAGCCCAUUCAAAUAGAACUCUCAGGUUAGUUCUAGGAUGGAUGACCGACCGAAAAGUUGAUCCCGGGUGCGCAUGAGUGAGGACAAAGUGCGCAAAAAAGACUAGUAUUGAUAUGUGGGGCCAGUCUAGAUCCCGCCAGGAGUAACGACCACCGCGGGUGUGUCCGAGGCGUUACAGAACCUCUCUACCAUGACUAGUGUGGGCAGCGACAGGGUGGGAGCGGUGUGGACGUGUGACGGGAAAGGGCGGGACGCGCGGCGGGAAAGGGCUGGGACGCGCGACCGGCGGCAUCAUUGAUUUGCGCGGGAGCUGAGGCGAGACGACUAGGACGACGAAUCUGAGGCGCUAACUCGACGGGCCCUGAGGGGUGGAAAUCUAGCGCGGGUUGUUUUCGCGCCAUUUUUUUCCAGCGCCACCCAGCGCAAUGGGUCCGCCGACGCCAGUUUCGGCCCAAACCGGCGAAAUUUGGGCCCCUAGGACUCGACUGGAUUUUUUUUACCGGCGAUAAAAAAGGUGCCUUGGGGGCCUAUUGGGGAAGGGAGGGGGGUGGAGAUGCUCUUAUGGAUCAGCUGGCCACAAGUGCAUCUGAAAAUGGACAGAAGGAUCUCGUCUUCUUCAGAAUUUAUCAAGAAGCCAUAAAAAAAAAGUAUUUCGAGAGGCGUCUAGCUAAAUUGGAUCAAUAUAAUUGACUAUGGAUUCGAAAGAUUGCACAAUAUAUGUUUGAUAAAUACAUGACAAAUGGCCAUGAAUCCAAAACAUUGCAUAAUGCUGGUAAAGAAACAUUGCGCUACUGAAUAAAAGAUCUAAUCGGGUUGUUUCCAAAACAAUCCUUUUGGUUUACCACAUAGAUCUUCAAACCACGUCCUACACCUAGACUGAAUAAGCUUCCUAAACUUAAUUCAUUUAUGCUGAAAGAUCAAAUCGGUUUGUUUCCAAAACAAUCGUUUUGGUUUACCACAUAGAUCUUCAAACCACAUCCUACACCUAGACUGAAUAUGAUUCCUAAACUACAUUUAUGUACAUGUAUAACUACCUGACGGCACCACAUGUAGAUGUGAUUGAGGUUUGGUUUGCUCCAAUCUCCCACACUAGUUAAUUUGGACACUUGUUGGUUUCACACGAGCUUGUUCGUAACAGAUCCAUUUUGAACGACUGGCUGGCUCACUAGUUUGGUUCUCUGGUGUGAUACCUUAUAUAGCAGCACUAGAACAAGAAACCAUGCAUAUAGUUAGCCAGCCUAGCCAAAUGUUUGCACUGAUUUGGUAUGUAUAUGCAUGCAUUUUACAUGAAUUAACUAAUUGCAGUACAUUUGGGCAUCGAUCUGGCAUGUCUGCUUGCUUUGCCGGUCAAACCGUGAUGCAUCAUCUCACCGGUCUCUCAUU
RNAcentral lists this long non-coding RNA (1882 nucleotides) under Hordeum vulgare. RNAcentral's name for it is "long non-coding RNA (HVUL_LNC020562)". Lineage: Eukaryota; Viridiplantae; Streptophyta; Magnoliopsida; Poales; Poaceae. The record is from RNAcentral.